RNAcentral lists this transfer RNA (73 nucleotides) under Felis catus (domestic cat). It matches the Rfam family "tRNA". From Rfam's summary of the family: Transfer RNA (tRNA) molecules are approximately 80 nucleotides in length. Their secondary structure includes four short double-helical elements and three loops (D, anti-codon, and T loops). Lineage: Eukaryota; Metazoa; Chordata; Mammalia; Carnivora; Felidae. The record is from Rfam by way of RNAcentral.
ACCUGGCUGGCUGAGUCAGGAGAGCAUGAGACUCUUGAUCUUGGGGUUGUGGGUUCAAGCCCUGUGUUGGGUG